ACCGCAGCAGCAAACCCAGAGUUUUCUCAGAUGUGGCGAUCCUUAGGCAGAGGAACCAGCAGCCCCCACAAACAGCUUCCUUUGGAAGGAGAGGAGAUCACGGCUAAAGCAGUACAGCAAUGGAGGAAAUACCUUGUUUUCUCAAGAAGAGGAGGACCGUGGACACUACAAUGAGGAACAACAGGAUGGAUCCCAGAAGCACCCAGUGAGUCCUGUUCUGUGGAGGAUGUGUUGCAGGCAGUUCUGGAAAAGGAUAAAGAGAAGCUGAUGGAAGGUAAGGCUUUGCUGCGCCAUAGUCAGGGGAAUGAUGACUCCUGAAAUAUAGUUUGGUCUUAGGGUAAUCUUAAUCACUGAAAGUUAAUGUCCAGGUAAGGGUUGGAAGAAGAAGACAGAUCUCCUAAGAAACUGGGAGCAGCACAGAGAAGAACUCCAGGCCUGUGACAUGUUGCCACAGAAAGUGACUGCAAUAUUAAAUGGUAACCUUAGUGCAGUAACUUCCUUGUGCACUCAUUAAUAUAGACAGUAAUGGCUGACUUGGUGUGGAAGGCCAACUCCCGAACAUGGGAAAGCGGGGCACUGCUAAGCCGCUUCUGUCUCCCACAAAUGUGGACCAGUGCGGGUUGUGUUUCUUCCAUGUCUGAGACUCUUGGGCACUCCAGUCAUUAACAUCUCCCUGUUUCUCUGCCUGGAGUUUUGAGAAAGAGAAAAAUGGGUCCCAGGGCUCUGGGAUGCUCUGAGAUUGCUAACUUCCAUCUCCUGUUGUAACUCAGCUCCUAUUUGGUCCCACUAUGAACCCAAGUUACAGAUGAGAAGAGACACUCAGAGUGGUUAAGUUACUCCAGGAUGUCCUACAAAGAAAUGGCCAGAGAACAGCUUUUUGCUGUUUUAUUAUGAUGAUGUUUGCUUGUUUUGUCUUUGAGGCAGGGUCUCUUGUAGUCAGUCCAUACUGGCCUUGAACUUGCUAUGAAGCUGAGGAUGACCUUGAACUGACCCUCCGGCUUCCACCACCAAAGUGUUUAGACUAUAGGUGAGCCCUAUAUACGUUUAUAUGGCGCUGGGGUCAGAGCAUUGUGGAUGCUAGGCAAGUACUCUCCCAACUGAGCUACAACGUCUCCAGCCCCAUAAAACAUUUAAUGGUAGGAAACCAACAAUAUAGCUUUUAUGGAAAAGUCCAAUUCUAGUUAGAGUGUCUUCCUUUUUAUUUUACAUUUUUCCAAACUUGUGUGCUCCUUUUGGCUCCACGCCCAUCCUGGGCUUCAUUUUUCAUAUUGGUUGACUUUUUAAUGUAGUUUUAUAUAUCUUCUCUAAACUUCACAGAGCUAUCUCUAGACAUCAAUGUACUGUUGACAUACAUUGGGAAAGGGGUGUCGAUGGAGGCAGAAGCAACCCUCCUCAGAGUGAGUACCUCUGGGUUCAUAUUCAUAUAAUGCUCUGAGCCUCUCACCAAACUGUCUCCUGUGGCCCUAUUUCUGUAAGGUAAAUGAAUUUUAAAGACAGCUGAAUUCUCAAACGAUUUUCCUACAAUCAUUUUCGUGCAGCUCAUUCUAUCCCUACAAUGCCCUGGCCUGGUGAGUUACAACCCAGCUAGUCGGUUGCCCAUAGGCAUCAGCCUCGUGUUCUAUGCACAGGCAGACUUCCUGGAGUUGAAGUAUCAGGGAAUGCCCUGAAGAGGAGUAUGGGAAGAAAGGAUUCUUCCUGUUGAAUAUAAGAUACAAAAAAAGGCAAUGCAUUUGCUUUCUACUACAGCAGCCCGGGAGGGAAGAGGGCAGCUUUGAUGUGACAAAGGUUUACAUUCCUGAAGCAUAAGCUUGCUCUCACGUUGCCCGUGGUGCCCAAGUUACAAGAGCAUCUCCUACAUGCGACUGUCACCUGUUUCCUGGAGCAGAGUAACUUAUGUCCUAUCCAGCCACGAAUACUCAAUGACUAACAUACUGUCUGUCAGGAGCAAACACUUAAUUCUUGCUGAGUGUUGACCAAGUAGCAUUAUGGCUUGCACGCAAGAGAAAGAGGAACUAGAAUACGUCUAGCCAAUGUAAGUUUCAUGUAUUCAUACACUCGGCCAACUACUGCUAAAUGACUAUGGCGGAUGGCCAUCGUGCUAGGAAUCCGGGGACGAGUUAGGCAACUCACCUGGGAUGAUCAGCUCCGCUGUGUGGUUUUGCCCUGGCUGUGAUCUCCAAAACGUACAGUAGAAAACAUCAUUCGCUGUGGCGUUGACCCUCAGACUGCUGGUCACAUUGAGAAGCAUCCCCUCUGUCCGGGAAGUGGUGACACUUCUCUUCCCACUCACGGGUUGGUGGUCACUGUUUGUCCAGAUUACCUCAGCUUCUGGAUAACCCUCGGCCUGACAUAUUAGUUCAUGCUCAGAAGUGGCUGGAUCCACGGAAAUUCUCUGGUUGAUUUUGCGGUAUGGGGCUAGGUCAGAAGCAAAGAGAGGUCAGGGCUCUCCCAUCUUAGGGCUAGCCGUGUGGCUUUGUGGUGUCUGCUUACAAAGAGCAUCAACUCGGGCUGGCUAUUGGAGAAAUAUGUCCCCGGCUCUGCUACUUUGGCAGCAGGGAGUGAGUGUUAGUCUGCCUCAGGUCUUCUAUUCAAAUCUGGGCCAUGUUUGGGCUUCAGGAACAACCUUGUUGUUGUAAAAACCACACCAGGGUGUUUACUGAGUGCAAACUAGAUGUAGCAACUAAGUUAAGUAAACUGUUACCUAGAAACCACAGGUCUUUCUACCUCAAUGUAAAUAAAACAUAUCUAUUUCUUCAGCAAUCAUUAUCCAACUUACGAUUCUUUAGUGAGCCAUAGAGAGCCCAGGAUAGGGGCUUAGGUGACUACUUCAUUACCAAAGAUGUAAUAAGAGCACUGUAAUACGGUAUUUUCACAGGAACUUGACACAGAGUAGCUAAGACAAAGCAAAGCCGUAAUGUGUUUGGUUGUCCAUGAACCAAGAAAAAACACCACCAACAAAAUAGGUAUAAUUACAAUUUCAAGUAACAGCUUUGAUGAACACUUGCCCAGUCUUGUAUUUAUCACAUUCAAGACCAACUAAAUAAAGAUGAGACCACUAUACAUUAUUAAAUAGGCACAUCAGGAAAUAAUGUCACCACAAUAGGGUCUAAUGCCACAUGGCCCGUGACCUAAUUCUUCUGGGAAAUUAGUGGUUUAAAUUUGAAAUCACUGCCAAUGAUAAAGCAUUCGGAGUGAAAUAUCUGCUUUCCACUUUUGUUUUUCACGGGUGCUGAUGGAAGGAGAGUUCUGCUUCACCUAGAAGACCAUGGUGAGCAGCUGAUGAGUGGAUUCGUCUGAAACUGACUAGACCUCCGCUGCCUCCGUCCCUAAGGUGAGCGUGUGUGUGAGGACGCAGGCAGGAAACACCAGAAUUGUGCACGCUUGCUCUAGGAUCUGUAAAAUCAGUCAUGCCUCAUAAACGGUGACGGCUGUCACUGAGUCUGAAUGUCUGACACAGGAAGAGGGGAGUCUAUUGAUUCAUAUUUGGGUUUCUAUGGAUGUUUCCAAUUCUCCUGUCUAUUUUUGUUUUGUUUUCCCUUUGAGGAAGAGUUGCAUGUAGACCAGGCUAGCCUUGAACUUGCUGUGUAGUCAAAGGUAACCUGCCUCUAGCUCCUGAGUGCUGGGGUCACAGGCAACUGAGUUGCCACCGCAUGUGGUUCUAUGCUGUGCCGGGGAUCGAACCAGAACUUCAUGAAUGGCAGGUAAGCACUCUACCAGAUGAAAUACAGACCCGUCCCUCUUGUCUAUCUUUAAUUGAAUUCACCAUCUUUAAAAAUAAGCACAUUACAAAGUCUUCUUAAAGAAACUCCAGAUCAAAGAUAAAGCUCACAAUUCAACACAAAGCAAAGGGAAAUGUAAGCAGUGACGUUACCAGUCAUUUUCGGACAUUAAAAACGAAGAUUGAAAGGAGUUACAGAGACAAAGUUUGGAGCUGAGACAAAAGGAUGGACCAUUUAGAGACUGCCAUAUCCAGGGAGCCAUCCCAUAAUUAGCCUCCAAACGAUGACACCAUUGCAUACACUAGCAAGCAUAUGCUGAAAGGACCCUGAAAUAGCUGUCUCUUGUGAGACUUGGCCGGGACCUAGCAAACACAGAAGUGGAUGCUCACAGUCAGCUAUUGGAUGGAUCACAGGGCUCCCAAUGGAGAAGCUAGAGAAAGCACCCAAGGAACUAAAGGGAUCUGCAACCCUAUAGGUGGAACAACACUAUGAACUAACCAGUACCCCGGAGCUCUUGACUCAAGCUGCAUAUGUAUCAAAAGAUGGCCUAGUAGGCCAUCACUGGAAAGAGAGGCCCAUUGGACACGCAGACUUUAUAUCCCCCAGUACAGGGGAACCCCAGGGCCAAAAAGUGGGAGUGGGUGGGUAGGGGAGUGGGGGAGGAGGGUAUGGGGGACUUUUGGGAUAGCAUUGGAAAUGUAAUUGAGGAAAAUAUGUAGUAAAAAAAUUUUUAAAAAAAGAAACAUAAGC
RNAcentral lists this long non-coding RNA (4469 nucleotides) under Mus musculus (house mouse). RNAcentral's name for it is "predicted gene, 36043". Lineage: Eukaryota; Metazoa; Chordata; Mammalia; Rodentia; Muridae. The record is from RNAcentral.